GGCAUAGUGGCUCAGUAGUUAGAGCGCCUGCCUCAUGAACGGGAGGUCAUGGGGUCGAACCCCGGCCGAGUCA
Molecule: non-coding RNA, 73 nt
Organism: Strongylocentrotus purpuratus (purple sea urchin)
Lineage: Eukaryota; Metazoa; Echinodermata; Echinoidea; Camarodonta; Strongylocentrotidae
Source: Rfam